AUUGAACGCUGGCGGAAUGCUUUACACAUGCAAGUCGAACGGCAGCACGGACUUCGGUCUGGUGGCGAGUGGCGAACGGGUGAGUAAUGUAUCGGAACGUGCCCAGUCGUGGGGGAUAACGUAGUGAAAAUUACGCUAAUACCGCAUACGAUCUAUGGAUGAAGACGGGGGAUCGCAAGACCUCGGCACAUUGGAGCGGCCGAUAGCAGAUGAGGUAGUUGGUGGGGUAAAGGCCCACCAAGCCAACGAUCUGUAGCUGGUCUGAGAGGACGACCAGCCACACUGGAACUGAGACACGGUCCAGACUCCUACGGGAGGCAGCAGUGGGGAAUUUUGGACAAUGGGCGAAAGCCUGAUCCAGCCAUUCCGCGUGCAGGAUGAAGGCCCUCGGGUUGUAAACUGCUUUUGUACAGAACGAAAAGGUUUCUACUAAUACUAGGAGCUCAUGACGGUACUGUAAGAAUAAGCACCGGCUAACUACGUGCCAGCCGCCGCGGUAA
This 500-nucleotide ribosomal RNA is filed under the name uncultured bacterium. RNAcentral's name for it is "partial 16S ribosomal RNA". It matches the Rfam family "Bacterial small subunit ribosomal RNA", at positions 30 to 523 of the family's 1533-position model. The record is from RNAcentral.